RNAcentral lists this unclassified non-coding RNA (253 nucleotides) under uncultured Gammaproteobacteria bacterium. RNAcentral's name for it is "contains 16S-23S intergenic spacer region". It matches the Rfam family "Bacterial small subunit ribosomal RNA", at positions 524 to 776 of the family's 1533-position model. Lineage: Bacteria; Pseudomonadati; Pseudomonadota; Gammaproteobacteria. The record is from RNAcentral.
UACAGAGGGUGCGAGCGUUAAUCGGAAUUACUGGGCGUAAAGCGCGCGUAGGCGGCUUGGUAUGUCGGGUGUGAAAUCCCCGGGCUCAACCUGGGAACUGCAUCCGAAACUGCCUUGCUAGAGUAUGGGAGAGGGAAGUGGAAUUUCCGGUGUAGCAGUGAAAUGCGUAGAUAUCGGAAGGAACACCAGUGGCGAAGGCGACUUCCUGGACCAAUACUGACGCUCAAGUGCGAAAGCGUGGGGAGCAAACAGG